AUGAACGCCGGCGGCGUGCCUAAUACAUGCAAGCUGAGCGAACAGACCAGGACUUUCAUCCUCUGAAGUUAGCGGCGGACGGGGGAGUAACACGUGGUUAACUUACCUAUAAGAUUGGGAUAACUCCGGGAAACCGGAGCUAAAACCGGAUAAAAUAUUCAACCGCUAGUUUCAAUAGUGAAAAACGGUUUUGUUGUUACUUAUAGAGGGAUCCUCGCCGCAUUAGUUAGUUGGUAAGGUAAAGCCUUACUAAGGCAACGAUGCGUACCCGACGUGAGAGGGUGAUCGGCCACACUGGAACUGAAACACGGUCCAGACUCCUGCGAGAGGCAGCAGUAGGGAAUCUUCCGCAAAGGGCGAAAGCCUGACGGAGCAACGCCGCGUGAGUGAUGAAGGUCUUCGGAUCGUAAAACUCUGUUAUGGGGGAAGAACAAAUGUGUAAGUACCUAUGCACGUCUUGACGGUACCUAAUCAGAAAGCCACGGCUAACUACGUG
RNAcentral lists this ribosomal RNA (496 nucleotides) under uncultured bacterium. RNAcentral describes it as "partial 16S ribosomal RNA". It matches the Rfam family "Bacterial small subunit ribosomal RNA", at positions 29 to 507 of the family's 1533-position model. The record is from RNAcentral.